AUGGUGGCGAAGAAGCCGGCCGCGGCUGCGGCAGCCGGCCCGGAGGCGGAGGAGCGGAGGCGCCUGCGGUCGCUGGCCUUCUCCAAGGGCCUGCUGCAGCGCGGCGAGCCGGCGGCGCCGCGGGCGGCGCUGCCGCCGUCCGGCGCCGUGGCGCGGCUGCAGGGGCGCGACAUCGUGCGGCCGCGGGGCCAGCGCAGAGGCCGCUUCCUAUUCUCCUUCCCCGGCCUCCUCGCGCCCGCCGCCGCCGGCGGCCGCGUCGGGGAGCUCGCCGACCUCGGCACCAAGAACCCCGUCCUCUACCUCGAGUUCCCGCAGGGGAGGAUGAAGCUGCUGGGCACGCACGUGUACCCCAAGAACAAGUACCUCACGCUGCAGAUGACCAGAUCCGCCAAGGGCGUCGCCUGCGAGGACGUCUUCGAGAGCAUGAUUGUGUUUUCCGAAGCCUGGUGGGUCGGGACCAAGGAGGAGAACCCCGACGAGCUCAAACUCGAGUUUCCGAAAGAGAUGCAGAAUGUAUGUGCUGCGGAAGAUGUUGAUUUUAAAGGCGGGGCAGGUGCUGCCAGUGGCGAGCUAGUUACAGUAAAUAAACCCAGAAAGCAGGCCGCAGAGCCCCACACACCAGAGUAUGAAUCCGAUGCCGAUUCAGAGGAUUCAGAUGUUAAGGAUGAGAUUGGCACGCAGACUACGAGUGAUACACCUGUUAGGAAAUCUGCCAGAACUGCUGGGAAGACCUUCAAGUUCGCAGAGCUCGCUGGAGGAGAUUCGGCUGAAAGUGACACUGAGAUUGAGUUUGCUGAGGACUUGGAUGAGAAGAUGAAGACUGAAGAAAUUAAGGAAGAAAUCCCAGGUGAAGACAUUAAACCUGAAGAUUCUCCAGCAGAGUCUCUUUCUAUCAAGAAGCAACCACUUGUUCAGGCUAAUUUGUCUACCAUGUUUAAAAAAGCAGAAGAAAAAAAGAGACCUACAACUACAAGAAGUCCUAAAGGAUCUCCAGCUACAAAAGGUCCUGCUGCUAAGAAGCCGCGAGCAACUCCAACGAAAAAACAGUCACCAGCGAAGAAGGAAGCAAGUGGAUCUCAGAAAAAGCAAAAAGCAAAGGUAGAAGAAGCGGCAUUACAGGACGACGACAUGGGCGAGGAGGAGGACGAUGAUAGCGAUGACGACUGGGCCGGGUAA
RNAcentral lists this ribosomal RNA (1176 nucleotides) under Triticum aestivum (bread wheat). RNAcentral describes it as "partial small subunit ribosomal RNA". The record is from RNAcentral. Lineage: Eukaryota; Viridiplantae; Streptophyta; Magnoliopsida; Poales; Poaceae.